Hippoglossus stenolepis (Pacific halibut) is the source of this 1740-nucleotide long non-coding RNA. RefSeq lists it as uncharacterized. Lineage: Eukaryota; Metazoa; Chordata; Actinopteri; Pleuronectiformes; Pleuronectidae. The transcript is spliced from 3 exons. The record is from RefSeq and is a predicted model, not a curated record.
CGACGGCGGAGACCGACUCCGAUAAAGCUCCUUUAUCGGUGGGACUUCAAAGCCGCGGCUCCAACACCACGAUCACUACUGCGCAGACUCCGGCUCCAGACGACCUCCAAUGGUGGCACCUGUAUCUGAAGAUCCCGUUCCAGCAGUUCGGAGCCAAUUGUGCAGAAGAUUUAAUGGAUUGGGACGGUGUGUGUGUGUCGACGGCUUCGGCGCUGGAAUGAAUUUGGAAAGAGGCCUCUUCUUAUCUGACAGUGCGGCUGCAGGCCUUGGCAAGUCCACCAGGAUCCUAACUGGAAACCUUGGAUUCAAUAUCUCCUCAGCCUCGGGUUGAAACAAGUUCCUCAACCUCCCCCCGUCUGGAUGGUUGUAUGAAUUUUAGGAUACACUGACCUACUGUAAGCCCCGUCCCCCUGAGUUCUGCUGCUAAACUAUGUUGAGCUCUCCAUUCUUGCACGGCACACCACGGCGUGCAGUUAACGAAAAAAAACACCAGGGGCACGUUUUGCCUCUUGAAAUUCUUUAUCUUUCACACAGACGGAGGUGGAAAUAAACAGGCUCCUUAUUUCAAACCAGCGACCUUUAGCUGGCUGGAACGACAACAGUCGCUAGUUAAUGGAGCUACGUUAAUCCUUCGUGUUCGGGAAGAGUGGAAGGGAUGCGUUUGUCUUCUGUGUUCGAUGGAGCCGUGGAAAUGGGACAGCCAAGUUCUUCUGAUGCAGCCUCCGAAGGAUUGUGGCCCUCGCAUCGGGACACAGCUUCUGAUUUGAUUGUUUAAUUCAGAUUUAUUCUAUUAAAAUGAGGAUCCUAUUUUGGUAACAUAUGGAGAUAUCUUGCUAACAGGUUGUUCUUCCCUAGUUGCUCAUCAAUUAAAAACACAUAGAUAUCCAGACAGAUGUCAUAUUAUUGAUUUGUCCUUCAUGAUUUCGUGCAUUGCCUUUUGCUUACUUCUGUGAGUAAAGCCAACAUUGACAGUUACUAUGUUUAUAACUGAUUCCAUGUUCUUUUGCCCUUUUAUUCUUGGUUUUUGGAAAUGCUCAAAUACAUAAAUACCCUCCACUUCAUGCACAUGGUGCAUUACUUCACUCGCGUGUGCUUUAAUUUGACAUCUGGAGAAAGCUUAAGGGAAGACUGUGCCAAGUUACAGUUGCUAAGGUAUGGUGGGACCAUCUGCCCAGUCAGGAGUAAUGUUGAGCAACAAGCAUAGCGAACGUAUAUCAUCAUUAGACCAUAAUAAAAAUGCACAAAAAAAUAAAACUCCACUUAACAAUAAUAUAAAAAGGUCAAAAUCACCAUAGCAGGAAACUACAUAUUAUAAUAUUACACUCUGCCCCCUUCCUCAUUUUCAUAUUUUCAUUCAAUUGGGAUUUUAAUGGCUCAACCUUCUCUACUUGUAUGUUCCACAUGUUGUUAUAUUAUUUAUUAGUUUUAUUAUAAGCCCUGUUUGUCUAUUUUGUUGUUACUUCCUGAUGGUUCAAUGUUCCCUCUGUAUUAAAUGAAAACAUCUUUUUUGAGGAGGUGGGAUUCUGCUUUGGUCAACUUCUUUCACUUUUUGACCGCAGCCUAAGAUGUGGAUCACGGGACAUAUCGAUAUCGUUAUAUAAUAAAUAAAUAAACAUAAAAUAAAGGAAAGAGAAAAGUGAAUGUGAGAUGAGCUCAGUCUGACUUAAAUCUUUAUUCAUGAUCUAGUGAAAUAUUCAAUCGUGUGUGGAUUUUUCCAAAUAAAAGACAUCUGACGCUUUA